This 429-nucleotide ribosomal RNA is filed under the name bacterium. RNAcentral describes it as "partial 16S ribosomal RNA". It matches the Rfam family "Bacterial small subunit ribosomal RNA", at positions 355 to 776 of the family's 1533-position model. The record is from RNAcentral.
UAGGGAAUCUUCGGCAAUGGGGGCAACCCUGACCGAGCAACGCCGCGUGAGUGAAGAAGGUUUUCGGAUCGUAAAGCUCUGUUUUAAGAGAAGAACGUGUGUGAGAGUGGAAAGUUCACACAGUGACGGUAACUUACCAGAAAGGGACGGCUAACUACGUGCCAGCAGCCGCGGUAAUACGUAGGUCCCGAGCGUUGUCCGGAUUUAUUGGGCGUAAAGCGAGCGCAGGCGGUUUAAUAAGUCUGAAGUUAAAGGCAGUGGCUUAACCAUUGUUCGCUUUGGAAACUGUUAAACUUGAGUGCAGAAGGGGAGAGUGGAAUUCCAUGUGUAGCGGUGAAAUGCGUAGAUAUAUGGAGGAACACCGGUGGCGAAAGCGGCUCUCUGGUCUGUAACUGACGCUGAGGCUCGAAAGCGUGGGGAGCAAACAGG